RNAcentral lists this ribosomal RNA (410 nucleotides) under uncultured soil bacterium. Its description in RNAcentral is "bacterial SSU rRNA". It matches the Rfam family "Bacterial small subunit ribosomal RNA", at positions 26 to 437 of the family's 1533-position model. The record is from RNAcentral.
AGAUUGAACGCUAGCGGGAUGCUUUACACAUGCAAGUCGAACGGCAGCGCGGACUUCGGUCUGGCGGCGAGUGGCGAACGGGUGAGUAAUAUAUCGGAACGUGCCCAGUAGCGGGGGAUAACUACGCGAAAGCGUGGCUAAUACCGCAUACGCCCUACGGGGGAAAGGGGGGGAUCGCAAGACCUCUCACUAUUGGAGCGGCCGAUAUCAGAUUAGCUAGUUGGUGAGGUAAAGGCUCACCAAGGCGACGAUCUGUAGCUGGUUUGAGAGGACGACCAGCCACACUGGGACUGAGACACGGCCCAGACUCCUACGGGAGCAGCAGGUGGGGAAUUUGGACAAGUGGGGAAACCUGACUCAGCCAUCCCGCGUGUGCGAUGGAAGGCCGUUCGGGUUGUAAAGCUACGUUU